Molecule: long non-coding RNA, 284 nt
Filed under: Panax ginseng (ginseng)
Lineage: Eukaryota; Viridiplantae; Streptophyta; Magnoliopsida; Apiales; Araliaceae
Description: long non-coding RNA (PGIN_LNC014254)
Source: RNAcentral
GCAGCAAAAAUCAAUCUUCUUCCAGCCUCAUCCUGGGCUCUCGAACGAGAACCCUCAGAAACCUGCUUGGAAGCAGUACCAGCAUGAGCAUUCUUUGAAGGACCCAAUCAAUCCUUGACAGAUACUCAUUGUGUAGACGAAGUCAUAGCCAUCGGGUAUCCUUUAGAGGUAACUGUUCUACUCUUCUUCACCAUGGAUUCCGACGUAGAGCAGCUACAAUUUGUGAUUGAAAACUUCAAGAACACUAGAACACAGCCCUCCUUCUAGCGCCAAUGUUAACGCCA